GUUGAAUAUAUACGAAAAUUGAAUUUGAAAAGCUUGGGAGAAAGAGGGAGGAGGAGAGGGGGCGAAGGCGAACACCACCAACAAAGAACACACACAACACAACCCCUUCUCCCUUCUCUUAAUAAUUGCAAAGUUUUUUUUUUCUUUCUUUCGUUCUUCUGUGUCGGUGUUUGGAUCGAAUUGUCUUUGAUUCGAGAGUUGAACGCAGAGUCGGGCGCCGUUUGGAUCUGAAACCAGUGAAUUUGAGCUUAUUUUUUGUUGAAUUUGUAGCUGAUUAUUGUUGUUGUUAUUAUCAAUAAUCGGUGAGAGGAGUGAGUGAAAUUUUGAUUUUUUUUUUUUUAAAUUAUUGUUUUGAUGGGGGAAGGUGAAGCUGAGGGGAGUGAUGGCGCUCCCAAGAAUAUUGUGUCAAACGACGUCGUUGCGAAUGCCCUGUUGCCGUUCGAUGUUCCCGCCAAGAAGCUCGCGCGGCAGCUCGAUUUCACCGAUUUCGGUGGGAUGCCGGCGCCGCCGCAGCCGCCGGUGAUUUUGCCACUGCCGCCUUCUGCUUCUGUCAGGGUUGGGAAACCAGAAUCUCCUAAAUCGAGACCGAGGCCUGGCUUUGAAAUUAAAGAAGCUACCCCGAAGAAGCAGAAGCAGUGCAAUUGUAAACAUUCAAAAUGCCUGAAGCUAUAUUGUGAAUGUUUUGCUUCGGGAAUAUAUUGUGACGGCUGCAACUGUGUAAAUUGUUAUAACAAUGUGGAAAAUGAAGCUGCUAGACGAGAAGCAGUUGAAGCUACUUUAGAACGGAAUCCAAAUGCAUUUAGGCCAAAAAUAGCGAGUAGCCCUCAUGGAACACGUGAUAGCAGGGAGGAUGCUGGGGAAGUUUUGAUAUUGGGAAAGCAUAACAAAGGGUGCCAUUGUAAAAAAUCUGGGUGCCUCAAGAAGUACUGUGAGUGCUUCCAAGCCAACAUUCUUUGUUCUGAAAAUUGUAAAUGCAUGGAUUGCAAAAACUUUGAGGGAAGUGAAGAGAGACAGGCUUUGUUCCAUGGAGAUCAAAAUAACAACAUGGUGUAUAUUCAGCAGGCGGCCAAUGCUGCCAUAACUGGAGCUAUCGGUUCCUCUGGCUAUUCUUCACCACCAAUAUCAAAGAAAAGAAAAGGUCAAGAACUGUUAUUUGGGCCAACCGUCAAGGAUCCAUCAGUUGGCAGGCAGGGGCAACAGGCAAACAAUGUCAGAGUUCCUGCACCCUCCUCAUCCUUGUCACCUAUCCCAGGUGCUCGUGUUGGACCAGCAACAUUAGGUCCUUCAAAAUUAAUGUACAGGUCUCUUUUAGCAGACAUCAUACAACCACAGCACCUGAAGGAACUUUGCUCAGUUCUGGUGCUAGUAUCUGGACAAGCCGCUAAGAUGUUUACAGACCACAAAAAUUUCAUGGAUAAGCAUGCUGAAGAUCAGACAGAAACUUCUCGUGCUUCUUCAACUCAGGAGCAAUUACCAAGCCAAAAGGAGGCUAAUGUUGAGAAAGCUAUGGCUGAUGAUGAUUGUUCAAGUGCAAACCAGACAGAUAAUAUCAGCCCGAAUAAUUCUUGUUCAGAUGGUGCUGAUGUCCCAAAAGGGAGGCCAAUGUCUCCUGGAACUUUAGCAUUGAUGUGCGAUGAGCAAGAUACAAUGUUCAUGACUGCUGCCUCCACUGUCGGGUCAAGGGCACAUGCUUGCAACACAUCUUUGCAACCGCCUUAUGGACAAGUAAUGACAGAGGUCUAUGCAGAGCAAGAAAGGAUUGUAUUGACGAAAUUUAGAGAUUUUCUCAAUAGAGUUAUCACUAUGGGAGAAAUAAAUGAAACAAAGUGCUCUUCAUUAGCCAGAAGUGAAUUAGAGAGUCAAAAGGAUCCAAACAUCAAUUGUACUGGAAACGCCAGUACUGAGACACAGCAUCAGCAGGGAGCCACUAAUAACGGUGUUGCCAAAACGGCGGGCAACUCCAUUAAUUCUACAUCUUUGUUUCCUGGUGGUAGUCUUGUUUCUGAAAAUGGUGAAACUUAUCCGAAGGUUGAAGAAUAGAUAUGAAAGGAAUCUAACAUAGAUGAGCAGAGAUAACUCUGGAAGAAAAAUUGUUUGAAGGUAUUUCCAUGCCUUUAUGACAGCAUUUGUCUGCAGUUAGUUGCUGCAAGGUAGCAUUUUCAUCGGAUGGCAGGCUCAUGUUGAUGUUUUCAUCAAUUGUAAUCUUGAGACCACUGACAUAGGAUCCUUCAUCUGACAUAUUUGAGGAACAUUCAGUGCAAUUGAUGUUGCUUACAUAAUGUUUGGUUCAUUUUAUCUUCCUAUAUUUCUGGAAUAUCAUUUUUUGGUUUUUCCAGUCUGGAUGAUUUUCUUGUCAACUAAUAAUGCAUUAAAGUGCAUUAUACUGAGGAUUUAAUCCAUUUACUAGUUAACGUUUCCA
Molecule: RNA transcript, 2419 nt
Organism: Glycine soja
Lineage: Eukaryota; Viridiplantae; Streptophyta; Magnoliopsida; Fabales; Fabaceae
Gene name: protein tesmin/TSO1-like CXC 5
Exons: 9
Source: RefSeq, a predicted model, not a curated record